UGGGCGUGAACUCGUGUUCAUUCAGUAGGCUGUCAGUAAAGCACGAGGAAGGACGCAUAUCGAAGCAGCGAGGAAGGACACAAAGCAGAAAGGCUGAUGAGUCUGUGAUUGGUGAUCUGCACCUUCUUUGCAACCCAAGUUUGUUCUGAUGUCUGCCAUCAUUCCAGCUGACUCUCACAGUGGUGAACUUUAAAACAGCUGUCAGAAUGGGAACCAGAACUAUUACCUGAUCAGUGAAAGCCAAGACAUUUUCCUUGUUCAACUAACCAAUGCUAAUCAUGUGAUGCUUGUGGUUGUUGAGAGUGCAUGUUCAUUCAGCACACAGUUGGUAAAGGACAAAAAAAAGAGCACAGAGCAUGGAAGGAAGGCUUGAGAGCUAAGACUUUCAUUAUUUCCAUGCAUGGAAACUGAAAAGAUGAGGGUCAUUGUGUAGAGAUCCAGGCACUUUAUUCCCAAGAUGAUGUGAAAUGGUGCAAAGUGUUGUGUAUGUCUUUUGCCUUCACUCUCUACUAGACCACUACUGCAUGGAUCUUCAGAUCUUCAAUUAGUACUGCUGUUCUAGUCAUCGGGAAAAAUCGAGACCACUUUUCUGUUGUACAACAUGUAUGUUACAUCCAAUUUUGAGGUGUAUUUUGACCUAUCUCUACCUCAGGAACUGUGAUGACACUGAGGAAAUAUUCUGCAGUCUUCAACAUGGUUACGCACAUAGCAAUUGCUGUACAGUGUAAUGCCAGCUUGUAUGUUUUUCUAAGAAAGUGACAAGGUGUGUCACGGUGGAAGCUGUGCAUCUGGACAGGAUGAGAGUGGUUGCAUUCCAAUGGCUGUAAGCAUGAAAUCACCUGGCCUUGUGUGAAAGAUGCGUAUGAACGGAUCAACCAGAUGUAUACCUCCAAUUUAAAGUGAGUAUUGUGUUACAUGUCGUAUAAUGACUUUAUGAAUUCAUUAUACUUAUUUAGAUAAGCAUAUUUUAUCAUCUUGUUUUUCGGUCAGUUAUAAGUCAUCGGUCAGUUAAUAGUCACACACAAAGAAUUUCGGAAUGCUACUUUAAAUAACUUCAGCGUUUGUUUACAUCUGGAAAAUGACAGGUUAAGAUAUCUCGUCCAGGUUAAUUACCCUCUGGCCACGUUAUUGGCUGCGUCAUGAUUGUUGUUUUGUUUCUAACUAAUUGUUAUGACAGAUGACUAAAUGAACUUACGCCCUGCCGGCGGAUCCUAGCACGGAUCUGUGGAAAUAUUAUCAAUUCUUACGCAGCUCGACUAUGAUUGCUGAGGACAAGAUUAUCAUUAAUAUUCAUGUUCCCCUAAUCGAUUUUAAUAGUCGCUUUGAUGUGUAUCGUAUUCAUAAUUUCGAACUUCCCUACAGUAACAUUAAUCGAUCAUCGAUACCACAGUCAUCUAAAGUACAUCUUGUCGCUAAGUACGAUUUAGAAUUUUCAGCUCUACUUUUUAAUCGAGAAUGCACAAAAUUCGCUGUCAUUCUGCCCAGUGAAUUAGAAUCUUGCAAAAGUAGCUUUACGCAAUUUUGUCAAGUCAGAUCCCCAUUUUAUCAAGCAAGCAUGUCUGAACUAUGCGUUACGGCUUUAUUUCUACGAAACCCAGCUAAAGUUACGCAAAACUGUAACAUUAUUAUAAAACCUAACACCAAGUUACCUUACGCCGAAAAUAUAGAUAACAGUCUCUGGGCAGUCACCACUUUAAUUGAUUUAAGAUUCGUCAUCGUGUGCCAAUCUGACACUAAAUCUAACCAUGAAUUAGUUGUUAAAGCCCCUCUCAGUUUAGUUCAACUUGAGAUGAACUGUCAGGCCUUUAAUGAACAUUUGAACUUAAGUCCCUGGUACUCUCAAAUUUCUAAGAAAACACAUCACCUUGAUUAUAACCCUCUA
Molecule: long non-coding RNA, 1882 nt
Organism: Mercenaria mercenaria
Lineage: Eukaryota; Metazoa; Mollusca; Bivalvia; Venerida; Veneridae
Exons: 7
Source: RefSeq, a predicted model, not a curated record